UACGGAGGGUGCAAGCGUUAUCCGGAAUCAUUGGGCGUAAAGCGCGUGUAGGCGGCUCGAUAAGUCCGUUCUGAAAGUCCAGGGCUCAACCCUGGGAUGCGGAUGGAUACUGUCGAGCUCGAGUCCGGAAGAGGCGAGUGGAAUUCCUGGUGUAGCGGUGAAAUGCGCAGAUAUCAGGAGGAACACCAAUGGCGAAGGCAGCUCGCUGGGACGUGACUGACGCUGAGACGCGAAAGCGUGGGGAGCAAACAGG
RNAcentral lists this ribosomal RNA (253 nucleotides) under uncultured bacterium. RNAcentral describes it as "partial 16S ribosomal RNA". It matches the Rfam family "Bacterial small subunit ribosomal RNA", at positions 524 to 776 of the family's 1533-position model. The record is from RNAcentral.